GAUGAACGCUGGCGGCGUGCCUAAUACAUGCAAGUCGAGCGAACAGACGAGGAGCUUGCUCCUCUGACGUUAGCGGCGGACGGGUGAGUAACACGUGGAUAACCUACCUAUAAGACUGGGAUCACUUCGGGAAACCGGAGCUAAUACCGGAUAAUAUAUUGAACCGCAUGGUUCAAUAGUGAAAGACGGUUUUGCUGUCACUUAUAGAUGGAUCCGCGCCGCAUUAGCUAGUUGGUAAGGUAACGGCUUACCAAGGCAACGAUGCGUAGCCGACCUGAGAGGGUGAUGGGCCACACUGGAACUGAGACACGGUCCAGACUCCUACGGGAGGCAGCAGUAGGGAAGCUUCCGCAAUGGGCGAAAGCCUGACGGAGCAACGCCGCGUGAGUGAUGAAGGUCUUCGGAUCGUAAAACUCUGUUAUUAGGGAAGAACAAAUGUGUAAGUAAGUAUGCACGUCUUGACGGUACCUAAUCAGAAAGCCACGGCUAACUACGUG
RNAcentral lists this ribosomal RNA (497 nucleotides) under uncultured bacterium. RNAcentral's name for it is "partial 16S ribosomal RNA". It matches the Rfam family "Bacterial small subunit ribosomal RNA", at positions 28 to 507 of the family's 1533-position model. The record is from RNAcentral.